Molecule: long non-coding RNA, 810 nt
Filed under: Brassica rapa (field mustard)
Lineage: Eukaryota; Viridiplantae; Streptophyta; Magnoliopsida; Brassicales; Brassicaceae
Description: long non-coding RNA (BRAP_LNC001214)
Source: RNAcentral
CCAGAUGGGCAUUUAAUGUUGGAUUUUUACCCUGGUCUAAAAAUCGACCACCUAGCCGGCCGCCUGGGUGCUACGCGUUACUCUUCCACCCUGAUUUAUGCAAAAUCGGUUUUAAAAAUCGGAUAUCCGAUUUUUUCCGCCUAGACCGCCUAAUUGACCGCCUAGCCGCCUAAUCUUUUUUUAUUUUUAUUUAUUUUUUGAUCUAAAAUCUUAUAAAUAUCAAUUUAUAUUCAUAAUUUUGAUGAAAGUUACACUAUAUUAAGUUUAUAUAUUAUAUUUGAGUUUUAUACAGUCUUAAACAUGAAAAUAUAUUAAUGUCAUACACAAUUAAAGAUUAACAUGUUUUAUAACAUAGUAAAACAAUCUAAAAAUUAUGUCCCACAUAAUUUCUAAAUAAUUCCUGAUUUUCUCUUUAUGCGCUAGGCCCAACCCGACCGUCCGACUGGCGCCUAACACGUUCCCUAACAGGGGUAUUUUAUGCCCAUGACUAGACUAAUUUUCUCAUUACUGAAUCUGUUUGUGUGUAUAAUUUGCAUGAAAAGCUAGAAAAAUAUGUUAUGUGAACAAAAUAAAAAGCUAUAAAGAUGAUGAGUAUGUUUUAACAAAAUUAGCAAAGAAACAAGAAUAGUGAGUUGCAUGUUCUUUCGCAAUACUUUUGGGGUUAAUCACUUUCCACGAAGUUUCCAUUAUAAUCUCUUUGUCAUUCUCCGAAAAAAAAAAAAAUCCAUUAUAAAUAAUCGGUGCACUGAAUCAGUUAAACGCGUAAAGGUUCAUUUAGCAACGACUCUUCGAAAUGAGAAGGGUUUAAUU